This 442-nucleotide long non-coding RNA is filed under the name Homo sapiens (human). RNAcentral's name for it is "LHRI_LNC579.1". Lineage: Eukaryota; Metazoa; Chordata; Mammalia; Primates; Hominidae. The record is from RNAcentral.
AUCCUUACAAAGGCCAUGCUUGUCUCUUGUGAGCUGGGGCCCACCUUAGCCUUCUUCAGAGGUGUUGCUUUAGCAAAUACCUUGGGUCCUCCCAGGCAAAAUCCUAUUUUAUUGAACCCAAAUAACAUGUGCAUCUAACAAGUUUAUUUCUGAAGGGUUGGCCCAGAGUUGGGUGCAGUUGACAUGGUGACCACAGACUUUCUCAAGAAAGGAAGAAAAUUCCUACAUGUAAUCACCAGCCUCUGUAUGGUUAGUCUCUGUGGAGGAGACUUGUUUUGGUGUCUAAGACUGGCAAGAUCAGGAAAAAGGAAAGUGAGCAUAAGAGAAGUCUAAAGACAGAAAGCCAGGCAGACAUUCAGGUCAGCCGGGACAAAUCAACCAACCAAUUAUUGUGAAACAAUGGCCUCCAAAAGUAGGUGUGGCCUACACCCCAAGGAUGAAC